RNAcentral lists this long non-coding RNA (392 nucleotides) under Citrus x clementina. RNAcentral's name for it is "Citrus clementina (C. clementina) long non-coding RNA (CCLE_LNC003389)". Lineage: Eukaryota; Viridiplantae; Streptophyta; Magnoliopsida; Sapindales; Rutaceae. The record is from RNAcentral.
AUGUAUUUUUUUUCUUUUACAUUUCAUACUUUUGGGGCUGUUUUAGAAAUUGACAAAAAUCUACACUUAUUUUAUUAUUUUUGGAGUUAUUGUAAGUCCAAUUUUAGUAUUUUAUAAGUAAAGUAACAAGUUAACAGAUGGUAAAUUGUUAUACUAUAAUAAUUCUUAGGGUAUGUUUGGUGCAUUGUAUUAUGGGGUAUUAAAAUAUUGUUUACAUUAAAUUAAUACUAGUGCUAUGUUUGGAAGAGCAUGGGAAUGGGUUAAAGGGGUUGUGCUAAUGCAGCAGUUGCCACAAUAGCUAAACUCAAUUGUGAGUCGGGUUUAGUUAAUGAGACAGUUGCCACAUUAGCUUGCUUUUUUUCCUUUUUUUUGCUUUUGCUUUAUAAUAAUAA